UAAUACCGAGGGUGCAUGACGGUACCNNAAGAAUAAGCACCGGCUAACUACGUGCCAGCAGCCGCGGUAAUACGUAGGGUGCGAGCGUUAAUCGGAAUUACUGGGCGUAAAGGGUGCGCAGGCGGCCAUGCAAGUCAGAUGUGAAAGCCCCGGGCUUAACCUGGGAAUUGCGUUUGAAACUGCAAGGCUAGAGUGCAACAGAGGGGAGUGGAAUUCCAUGUGUAGCAGUGAAAUGCGUAGAGAUGUGGAAGAACACCGAUGGCGAAGGCAGCUCCCUGGGUUGACACUGACGCUCAUGCACGAAAGCGUGGGGAGCAAACAGGAUUAGAUACCCUGGUAGUCCACGCCCUAAACUAUGUCAACUAGUUGUCGGAUCUAAUUAAGGAUUUGGUAACGUAGCUAACGCGUGAAGUUGCCGCCUGGGGAGUACNGUCGC
Molecule: ribosomal RNA, 436 nt
Filed under: uncultured bacterium
Lineage: Bacteria
Description: bacterial SSU rRNA
Rfam family: Bacterial small subunit ribosomal RNA
Source: RNAcentral